AUUGAACGCUGGCGGCAUGCCUUACACAUGCAAGUCGAACGGCAGCACGGACUUCGGUCUGGUGGCGACCGGCGCACGGGUGAGUAACACGUGUGCAACCAACCCCGUACCGGGAGAUAACCCGCGGAAACGUGGACUAACAUCCCAUGACACCUUUUCCCCGCAUGGGGGAGAGUUUAAAACCCCGGUGGUACGGGACGGGCACGCGCGACAUUAGGUAGUUGGCGGGGUAAGGGCCCACCAAGCCGACGAUGUCUAGGGGUUCUGAGAGGAAGGUCCCCCACACUGGAACUGAGACACGGUCCAG
This 307-nucleotide ribosomal RNA is filed under the name uncultured bacterium. RNAcentral describes it as "bacterial SSU rRNA". It matches the Rfam family "Bacterial small subunit ribosomal RNA", at positions 30 to 334 of the family's 1533-position model. The record is from RNAcentral.